Molecule: ribosomal RNA, 245 nt
Filed under: uncultured bacterium
Lineage: Bacteria
Description: partial 16S ribosomal RNA
Rfam family: Bacterial small subunit ribosomal RNA
Source: RNAcentral
CCCGGCGCACGGGUGAGUAACACGUAUGCAAUCCACCUGUAACAGGGGGAGUAACCCGGAGAAAUCCGGACUAAUACCCCAUAAUAUGGGCGCUCCGCAUGGAGAGUUCAUUAAAGAGAGCAAUUUUGGUUACAGACGAGCAUGCGCUCCAUUAGCCAGUUGGCGGGGUAACGGCCCACCAAGGCGACGAUGGAUAGGGGUUCUGAGAGGAAGGUCCCCCACAUUGGAACUGAGACACGGUCCAA